CACCCUGUAUAUAUAGUGUUUUAAGUCAAUCGAUACGAUGUUGAUAUAUACAGAAGAGUUAGAGUUUCGAAGGUUGUGGGUUCGAAGCACCCACUCGAGUAAUCCCUCUUCCCAACAAAGAAACACAUGCACACUAUAUAUACUUCGAUUUAUCAAUUUACUUGCAUGGACAUUAACGUGCAUGCCACGUCACAAAUGUAGCUGAAUAACAAUGACCCAGCUGGGGAGUACGCUGAAAAACGUGUAUCUUUGGAAGUGGACCAGGGAAAAUCUUCCUGGUUAUUCUGUAGCAGAGUCGACUAGUUAGAAUGAUCUUUUUCGAAUUGCCAAAAUAAAUCCGCAAUAAUGCAUCAAGUUACGUUAUCUUGCACGAUCUUAUAAAACUUCCAGAACUUGGC
Molecule: non-coding RNA, 398 nt
Organism: Paramuricea clavata
Lineage: Eukaryota; Metazoa; Cnidaria; Anthozoa; Malacalcyonacea; Plexauridae
Source: the annotation of a GenBank genome assembly